UAUAUAUAUAUAUAUAUAUGGAAACCUGGCUGAUUCUUAGAAAACUACGUGAACAAAAGGGGAGAAAUCUCUCUCUGGAACAUGGUGAAAUGGAUUCAUUUCCUUUCUUAUUUUAAUGUAACUUGAAUGUGGUCCUGUGGCUUGCUUUACAUGAUCGACUUUCCUUAACAUGAAGAGGGCAAACUGACGCUAGCAUUUCCCUCGAGUGAUUUGCAUAAUAUGAAUGGGCUAAACAGCUUCAAUAAGACCAUCUAAAAUGGUCAUUUAUAUGCUUUUGAAUUGAUGGAUCUACAGUACUCAUCCCCCUGAACUGGAGUUGUGCAAAGUGUGUCUUUUGUCUUGUAAAAUAUUUUCCUUCCGUUUUUGUGUUUUGAUACUGUGUCGGUAGGCAAGGGACUGGGAUUGGAUUGUAGGGUUUUUCAGUUUCAAAUUUGGUUUAUG
Molecule: unclassified non-coding RNA, 441 nt
Filed under: Hevea brasiliensis (rubber tree)
Lineage: Eukaryota; Viridiplantae; Streptophyta; Magnoliopsida; Malpighiales; Euphorbiaceae
Source: RNAcentral